RNAcentral lists this ribosomal RNA (1369 nucleotides) under uncultured bacterium. RNAcentral's name for it is "bacterial SSU rRNA". It matches the Rfam family "Bacterial small subunit ribosomal RNA". The record is from RNAcentral.
AGAGUUUGAUCCUGGCUCAGGACGAACGCUGGCGGCGCGCCUAACACAUGCAAGUCGAACGAGCGAGAGAGAGCUUGCUUUCUCGAGCGAGUGGCGAACGGGUGAGUAACGCGUGAGGAACCUGCCUCAAAGAGGGGGACAACAGUUGGAAACGACUGCUAAUACCGCAUAAGCCCACAGGUCGGCAUCGACCAGAGGGAAAAGGAGCAAUCCGCUUUGAGAUGGCCUCGCGUCCGAUUAGCUAGUUGGUGAGGUAAUGGCCCACCAAGGCGACGAUCGGUAGCCGGACUGAGAGGUUGAACGGCCACAUUGGGACUGAGACACGGCCCAGACUCCUACGGGAGGCAGCAGUGGGGAAUAUUGCACAAUGGGGGAAACCCUGAUGCAGCGACGCCGCGUGGAGGAAGAAGGUCUUCGGAUUGUAAACUCCUGUUGUUGAGGAAGAUAAUGACGGUACUCAACAAGGAAGUGACGGCUAACUACGUGCCAGCAGCCGCGGUAAAACGUAGGUCACAAGCGUUGUCCGGAAUUACUGGGUGUAAAGGGAGCGCAGGCGGGAAGACAAGUUGGAAGUGAAAUCUAUGGGCUCAACCCAUAAACUGCUUUCAAAACUGUUUUUCUUGAGUAGUGCAGAGGUAGGCGGAAUUCCCGGUGUAGCGGUGGAAUGCGUAGAUAUCGGGAGGAACACCAGUGGCGAAGGCGGCCUACUGGGCACCAACUGACGCUGAGGCUCGAAAGUGUGGGUAGCAAACAGGAUUAGAUACCCUGGUAGUCCACACCGUAAACGAUGAUUACUAGGUGUUGGAGGAUUGACCCCUUCAGUGCCGCAGUUAACACAAUAAGUAUCCACCUGGGGAGUACGACCGCAAGGUUGAAACUCAAAGGAAUUGACGGGGGCCCGCACAAGCAGUGGAGUACGUGGUUUAAUUCGACGCAACGCGAAGAACCUUACCAAGUCUUGACAUCCCUUGACGAACAUAGAAAUAUGUUUUCUCUUCGGAGCAAGGAGACAGGUGGUGCAUGGUUGUCGUCAGCUCGUGUCGUGAGAUGUUGGGUUAAGUCCCGCAACGAGCGCAACCCUUACUGUCAGUUACUACGCAAGAGGACUCUGGCAGGACUGCCGUUGACAAAACGGAGGAAGGUGGGGAUGACGUCAAAUCAUCAUGCCCUUUAUGACUUGGGCUACACACGUACUACAAUGGCGUUAAACAAAGAGAAGCAAGACCGCGAGGUGGAGCAAAACUCAGAAACAACGUCCCAGUUCGGACUGCAGGCUGCAACUCGCCUGCACGAAGUCGGAAUUGCUAGUAAUCGUGGAUCAGCAUGCCACGGUGAAUACGUUCCCGGGCCUUGCACUCACCGCCCGUCA